AGGUGGGGUAACGCAACAACACAGGGAAAAAAACAUGGCGUCGUCCGCGAUCACCUACUCCCGCUGAUACCGAUUCGUCUUUCACUGAAUAAAACGGUUUGUCCGGCGGGAAAUAGGAGUCGAAAAUCAUCAGUCACCCGCAUGUCCCGGCUGGCGGUGGUGUGCGGCGGCUCCAGGGGCAUCGGCAGCGCCGCGUCCCGCCUGCUGGCCGAGAGGGGCUGCAGGGUGGCCGUUGUGUCCCGGGACCAAGACGCGGCCCGGGCCACCGUGGCGUCCCUGCGCGGAGCUGAUCACGUGGCUUUUAGUUGCGAUGUCUCCAAAGAGCAUGAGGUGAAGAAGACCUUUGACGCUAUCCAGAAAACCUGUGGAAACAUCUGUUACCUGGUGAAUGCAGCUGGCAUCAACAGGGAUGCUCUGCUGCUGAGGACCAAGCCGGAGGACAUGGUGGCUCUGCUCCACACCAACCUGCUGGGCUCCAUGCUGACCUGCAGGGCGGCGCUGCGCGGCAUGCUGCACACGCAGGGAGCUGCCAUUGUGAAUAUAGGCUCUGUUGUGGGCCUGAAAGGAAAUGCUGGUCAGUGUGUUUACAGUGCCAGUAAAGCCGGUCUGGAGGGUUUCACACGAUCUCUGGCUAAAGAAGUUGCUUCACGUAAUAUCAGGGUUAAUCUGCUGGCUCCAGGUUUUAUCCGCACCGCCAUGACCACGGGGCUGAGGGAGGAGGAUGCCGUGCGUUCCGUUCCACUGGGGAGAUUUGGCGAGCCGGAGGAGGUGGCCCCGGCUGUUCUCUUCCUCUUGGAGUCUUCCUACGUAACGGGACAGGUGCUGGUGGUGGACGGAGGGCUGCAGCUGGCCAUGUAGCUGGCCAAAAUGUUCCAUCCGGCACAGUCGUCCCUCCUGAACGAUGAGGUCACCGGGCGCCUGCAGGAAGUGGGGGCGGAAGUGGCGCUCUUGGAUGUUGUCGUUCUCAUCACCGCUGUCUCUAGACCUGGACCGGGGCCUGAUUAUGAUUGGUGGGCGGAGCUGACACCUGGUGAGAUGCAGCACACCUGAGCAGGGUCAGAUCGGGGGGCAUAUAGAGCCGACCCGGAGGAGCUCCUGGCUUUCUCUCGCGACUGGCCUGCCGACUGACUGUGUCGUUUGCGGCAUGUUUUUUGUGUUGACUUUAUUCAUUUAAAACAUUGUUCUUUAUCUGAUAGGCUGUGUGGUCUCCCGCUUCCGUCACACGUUCACUUUUAGAUUUCUCAUCUUCCAGAUAGGACAGGAAUUUUUGGGGGCCAUCUUGUCCUUAUUUCCUGUUGUUGCAUUGACUCUUUCUUGAUCUCCUCCGUGAGCCUUGUACAGCAGGCCAGGACACCAGAGGUGUUUCUGAGAUACUUUACCCUAUCACAACAAUGACAUCAUCCCCCUGCCUGUCAACCAGGGAGCAGGAGACACUGAUUGUUAUCUUGAUCUCGCUCCAAAAACAUCUCUGAGCUCUUGUCUCACCUGGGAGUGUUCAUCUAGAUAACAGGUGUUUGUUUUUGCUUUUUUUAUGUUCCAUAGCGGGGCGUCUGUGACCUGGGUUUGGGUGAAUGCGUAUUAUGUAUACACGGUCAUUAGAGCGAUGGGAAAAGAAGAGGGAAAAAAAAGCGAGCAGAGCAAACGGGUGUUCCCUCUCAUUAACACGGAGCUCCUUUUCUUCCCUGGGACACAGUUCAGCAGAGAACAAAAUGUGCUCCCAGCAAACAUUAGAGUAAACAGCAGCAUCGUGUGAACGUUUUACAUCGGAGUCGCACACACUUU
Molecule: RNA transcript, 1782 nt
Organism: Scophthalmus maximus (turbot)
Lineage: Eukaryota; Metazoa; Chordata; Actinopteri; Pleuronectiformes; Scophthalmidae
Gene: cbr4
Gene name: carbonyl reductase 4
Exons: 8
Source: RefSeq, a predicted model, not a curated record